CUAUGUGUUGUUGGGUAGGGGAGCGUUCUGUAAGCCUGUGAAGGUGUGCUGUGAGGCAUGCUGGAGGUAUCAGAAGUGCGAAUGCUGACAUAAGUAACGAUAAAGCGGGUGAAAAGCCCGCUCGCCGGAAGACCAAGGGUUCCUGUCCAACGUUAAUCGGGGCAGGGUGAGUCGACCCCUAAGGCGAGGCCGAAAGGCGUAGUCGAUGGGAAACAGGUUAAUAUUCCUGUACUUGGUGUUACUGCGAAGGGGGGACGGAGAAGGCUAUGUUGGCCGGGCGACGGUUGUCCCGGUUUAAGCGUGUAGGCUGGUUUUCCAGGCAAAUCCGGAAAAUCAAGGCUGAGGCGUGAUGACGAGGCACUACGGUGCUGAAGCAACAAAUGCCCUGCUUCCAGGAAAAGCCUCUAAGCAUCAGGUAACAUCAAAUCGUACCCCAAACCGACACAGGUGGUCAGGUAGAGAAUACCAAGGCGCUUGAGAGAACUCGGGUGAAGGAACUAGGCAAAAUGGUGCCGUAACUUCGGGAGAAGGCACGCUGAUAUGUAGGUGAAGCGACUUGCUCGUGGAGCUGAAAUCAGUCGAAGAUACCAGCUGGCUGCAACUGUUUAUUAAAAACACAGCACUGUGCAAACACGAAAGUGGACGUAUACGGUGUGACGCCUGCCCGGUGCCGGAAGGUUAAUUGAUGGGGUUAGCCGCAAGGCGAAGCUCUUGAUCGAAGCCCCGGUAAACGGCGGCCGUAACUAUAACGGUCCUAAGGUAGCGAAAUUCCUUGUCGGGUAAGUUCCGACCUGCACGAAUGGCGUAAUGAUGGCCAGGCUGUCUCCACCCGAGACUCAGUGAAAUUGAACUCGCUGUGAAGAUGCAGUGUACCCGCGGCAAGACGGAAAGACCCCGUGAACCUUUACUAUAGCUUGACACUGAACAUUGAGCCUUGAUGUGUAGGAUAGGUGGGAGGCUUUGAAGUGUGGACGCCAGUCUGCAUGGAGCCGACCUUGAAAUACCACCCUUUAAUGUUUGAUGUUCUAACGUUGACCCGUAAUCCGGGUUGCGGACAGUGUCUGGUGGGUAGUUUGACUGGGGCGGUCUCCUCCUAAAGAGUAACGGAGGAGCACGAAGGUUGGCUAAUCCUGGUCGGACAUCAGGAGGUUAGUGCAAUGGCAUAAGCCAGCUUGACUGCGAGCGUGACGGCGCGAGCAGGUGCGAAAGCAGGUCAUAGUGAUCCGGUGGUUCUGAAUGGAAGGGCCAUCGCUCAACGGAUAAAAGGUACUCCGGGGAUAACAGGCUGAUACCGCCCAAGAGUUCAUAUCGACGGCGGUGUUUGGCACCUCGAUGUCGGCUCAUCACAUCCUGGGGCUGAAGUAGGUCCCAAGGGUAUGGCUGUUCGCCAUUUAAAGUGGUACGCGAGCUGGGUUUAGAACGUCGUGAGACAGUUCGGUCCCUAUCUGCCGUGGGCGCUGGAGAACUGAGGGGGGCUGCUCCUAGUACGAGAGGACCGGAGUGGACGCAUCACUGGUGUUCGGGUUGUCAUGCCAAUGGCACUGCCCGGUAGCUAAAUGCGGAAGAGAUAAGUGCUGAAAGCAUCUAAGCACGAAACUUGCCCCGAGAUGAGUUCUCCCUGACUCCUUGAGAGUCCUGAAGGAACGUUGAAGACGACGACGUUGAUAGGCCGGGUGUGUAAGCGCAGCGAUGCGUUGAGCUAACCGGUACUAAUGAACCGUGAGG
Molecule: ribosomal RNA, 1725 nt
Filed under: Escherichia coli
Lineage: Bacteria; Pseudomonadati; Pseudomonadota; Gammaproteobacteria; Enterobacterales; Enterobacteriaceae
Description: partial 23S ribosomal RNA
Rfam family: Bacterial large subunit ribosomal RNA
Source: RNAcentral